This 440-nucleotide ribosomal RNA is filed under the name uncultured bacterium. RNAcentral's name for it is "partial 16S ribosomal RNA". It matches the Rfam family "Bacterial small subunit ribosomal RNA", at positions 338 to 795 of the family's 1533-position model. The record is from RNAcentral.
CCUACGGGUGGCAGCAGUGGGGAAGAUUGCACAAUGGGGGAAACCCUGAUGCAGCGACGCCGCGUGAGUGAAGAAGUAUUUCGGUAUGUAAAGCGCUAUCAGCAGGGAAGAAAAUGACGGUACCUGAGUAAGAAGCACCGGCUAACUACGUGCCAGCAGCCGCGGUAAGACGUAGGGGGCAAGCGUUAUCCGGAUUUACUGGGUGUAAAGGGAGCGUAGACGGUGAUGCAAGUCAGAAGUGAAAGCCCGGGGCUCAACUCCGGGACUGCUUUUGAAACUGUGUGACUGGAGUGCAGGAGAGGUAAGCGGAAUUCCUGGUGUAGCGGUGCAAUGCGUAGAUAUCAGGAGGACCACCAGUGGCGAAGGCGGCUUACUGGACUGUACCUGACGUUGAGGCUCGAACGCGUGGGGAGCAAACAGGAUUAGAUACCCCGGUAGUC